RNAcentral lists this unclassified non-coding RNA (17 nucleotides) under Mus musculus (house mouse). Its description in RNAcentral is "oocyte_clustered_small_RNA4476". The record is from RNAcentral. Lineage: Eukaryota; Metazoa; Chordata; Mammalia; Rodentia; Muridae.
ACAAGUAUAACAAGCAU